RNAcentral lists this non-coding RNA (31 nucleotides) under Mus musculus (house mouse). The record is from RNAcentral. Lineage: Eukaryota; Metazoa; Chordata; Mammalia; Rodentia; Muridae.
UAGAAACGAUUCAUUCAAACAGGCUUCCUUU